This 502-nucleotide ribosomal RNA is filed under the name uncultured bacterium. Its description in RNAcentral is "partial 16S ribosomal RNA". It matches the Rfam family "Bacterial small subunit ribosomal RNA", at positions 28 to 507 of the family's 1533-position model. The record is from RNAcentral.
GACGAACGCUGGCGGCGUGCUUAACACAUGCAAGUCGAACGGUGAAGGGGUCUGCUUUUGUGGGCCCUGGAUGAGUGGCGAACGGGUGAGUAGCACGUGAGUAACCUGCCCCCUUCUUCUGGAUAACCGCAUGAAAGUGUGGCUAAUACGGGAUAUUCUGGGUCUGUCGCAUGAUGGGUCUGGGAAAGAUUGCGCCUUUGGGUGUUUUUGGUGGGGGAUGGGCUCGCGGCCUAUCAGCUUGUUGGUGGGGUGAUGGCCUACCAAGGCGGUGACGGGUAGCCGGCCUGAGAGGGUGGACGGUCACACUGGGACUGAGACACGGCCCAGACUCCUACGGGAGGCAGCAGUGGGGAAUAUUGCACAAUGGGCGCAAGCCUGAUGCAGCGACGCCGCGUGAGGGAUGGAGGCCUUCGGGUUGUAAACCUCUUUCGCCAGUGAAGCAGGCCUGCUCCUUGUGGGUGGGUUGACGGUAGCUGGAUAAGAAGCGCCGGCUAACUACGUG